UGCCUCAGACAUGCAAGUCGAACGAUUAAAGCUCUCUUCGGAGAGUGUAUAAAGUGGCGCACGGGUGAGUAACACGUAAGUAAUCUACCCUCGGGUGGGGAAUAACCCAAGGAAACUUGGGCUAAUACCGCAUAAUGCAGCGGCUCCUACGGGAGACAGUUGUUAAAGCAUUUAUGCGCCUGGGGAGGAGCUUGCGGCAGAUUAGCUAGUUGGUAAGGUAAUGGCUUACCAAGGCAACGAUCUAGUAGCCGGCCUGCAGAGGGCGUGUCGGUCACACUGACACUGAAUAA
This 290-nucleotide ribosomal RNA is filed under the name uncultured bacterium. RNAcentral describes it as "partial 16S ribosomal RNA". It matches the Rfam family "Bacterial small subunit ribosomal RNA", at positions 45 to 326 of the family's 1533-position model. The record is from RNAcentral.